GUAACUUUAAUAAUAAUCAUGAUCUGUGCAGAAACAAGGAUUUAUAGAGCGUGAUAAAUAGCACUCCACCCGUCGUCUGCUCGCAUGCAGCCACUUGCGUGACAAGGUUUUCGGUUGAAAGUCCCCAUAAAGAAAUUUCUUAACUGAUUUUUAUUCACACAAAAAAAAACCAAUUUAAGGACGAAAGUGAUUUCUGCUUUCUAUCCGAUAACAUCAUUUAAUAUGGUUGCCUAAAUAUGGGUUGCUUAUUUUCAAGCAUGGCUGACACUGCAUGGCAAAGAUCGUUCACAUGGCCGUUUCAAGAAACUACGACUUGCUAAUGGUUGAAUUUCGACGUCGUGACCAGUUGGAAAGUAACAAACCGCAAGCAAAAUGAAACUAACUUUUUUCACAAUCUGUGUCAUGGAGUGUAACAAGGCUAUUCACCAUGUGAUGGUUACAUUAUUAAUUUUGGUUUACAUUACCUAACACUUGGUGAAAAGCUUGGUGGCUAUGGCAAUUAUUUAGUUAUCUAAACCGAAUUACACGAUAAAUUCCCCAGCUUUUUUAUUGCUAUUUGCUAUUUUCCUAUGUUUCUAACUCUUUGCCAUACCUAUCGGACCCAGCCAUCUAGCGGCUGACGAAACCAACGGCGCAGACUACAGAGAUCAGUGUAUCUUGUCCAAUAUAGUAGACCGUAGCGCACCAGUGUCACUCAAAUCAAACACAGUUUAGUAGACUGUAGCGCAACAAUGGCAUAAAGAAAAAUGAAAUUUUUUGAAAAAUUGGUUAAAAUAUUUCAGAGAACUAAAAAACUGUAUUUAAUAAUUUUACAGGCUUAGAUGAAUGUAUAAUUAUGGUUUCAUUGAACCUAUUGCACAAGCCACUGGAAGAAUAGCAGACUCCUUCGAUGUUCAAUUGGCUAGACAUUGUUUUGAUAGCAUAUAUUGUAAACAGACUGAAAAGCUGUGACAGCAGAAAACAGUUCUCGAACAAAAAAAGCUUCAAGAUGUUGGCAAAGAUUUCCAUAACAGUAAAUAGAGCAGGAAAGUACUAUUCUACAAUACCUGGCAGAACCACUAACUUUGUCUCACAUCGAUCAGCUAUUGCUACUGGUGUGAAUACCCUAACUGCCACACAGAUUCUUGUUUUGCAUGAUCUCGCAUGAAAAGUAGAGUGUGGUGGAAGUCAGUAGCUGCUUGUGCUUUUUAUCUGUCUGAAGCUUUAGUUUGAAAUAUAUCUAUCCCAUGUCAAUUGAUCUGAUAAUUUGCCAUGAAUCCAUUUCAUCAUUCAGCUCAGUAGAUUUAACUGGUCUGUUAUAUUAAGUAGUGAUCUUUGUAUCCUAAUUGGAGCCCCUCCUUAUUUUUAUUUCUGCUUAUUGGAGUUGGAAUUAGAAGAGCAAUCGAUGGGCGCCAAGAUGGGAAAGUCAUCAUCUACGAUUAUCCGUUCGCAACGAAAUGCAUCCACAUCCUGCAAUGGUAACUUCACAUUGAAGAAAAUAUGAAGAGAAUAGUCAAUA
This is a long non-coding RNA of Daphnia carinata, 1498 nucleotides long. RefSeq lists it as uncharacterized. NCBI's taxonomy places the organism in Eukaryota, Metazoa, Arthropoda, Branchiopoda, Diplostraca, Daphniidae. The record is from RefSeq and is a predicted model, not a curated record. The transcript is spliced from 3 exons.